Molecule: non-coding RNA, 28 nt
Filed under: Bombyx mori (domestic silkworm)
Lineage: Eukaryota; Metazoa; Arthropoda; Insecta; Lepidoptera; Bombycidae
Source: RNAcentral
UCUAAUAGUCGGCGCUCGAGAUUUGUGU